CAGCUUGUUGGUGGGGUAACGGCCUACCAAGGCGACGACGGGUAGCCGGCCUGAGAGGGCGACCGGCCACACUGGGACUGAGACACGGCCCAGACUCCUACGGGAGGCAGCAGUGGGGAAUAUUGCGCAAUGGGCGAAAGCCUGACGCAGCGACGCCGCGUGGGGGAUGAAGGCCUUCGGGUUGUAAACCCCUUUCAGCAGGGACGAAGCGAAAGUGACGGUACCCACAGAAGAAGCGCCGGCUAACUACGUGCCAGCAGCCGCGGUAACACGUAGGGCGCAAGCGUUGUCCGGAAUUAUUGGGCGUAAAGAGCUCGUAGGCGGUCUGUUGCGUCCGCUGUGAAAACUCGGGGCUUAACCCCGAGCCUGCAGUGGAUACGGGCAGACUAGAGGUAGGUAGGGGAGAAUGGAAUUCCCGGUGUAGCGGUGAAAUGCGCAGAUAUCGGGAGGAACACCGGUGGCGAAGGCGGUUCUCUGGGCCUUACCUGACGCUGAGGAGCGAAAGCGUGGGGAGCGAACAGGAUUAGAUACCCUGGUAGUCCACGCCGUAAACGUUGGGCGCUAGGUGUGGGAUCCUUCCACGGAU
This 586-nucleotide ribosomal RNA is filed under the name uncultured Actinomycetes bacterium. Its description in RNAcentral is "SSU rRNA". It matches the Rfam family "Bacterial small subunit ribosomal RNA", at positions 242 to 839 of the family's 1533-position model. Lineage: Bacteria; Bacillati; Actinomycetota; Actinomycetes. The record is from RNAcentral.